GGAUAACUCCGGGAAACCGGGGCUAAUACCGGAUGCUUGUUUGAACCGCAUGGUUCAAUUAUAAAAGGUGGCUUUUAGCUACCACUUACAGAUGGACCCGCGGCGCAUUAGCUAGUUGGUGAGGUAACGGCUCACCAAGGCGACGAUGCGUAGCCGACCUGAGAGGGUGAUCGGCCACACUGGGACUGAGACACGGCCCAGACUCCUACGGGAGGCAGCAGUAGGGAAUCUUCCGCAAUGGACGAAAGUCUGACGGAGCAACGCCGCGUGAGUGAUGAAGGUUUUCGGAUCGUAAAACUCUGUUGUUAGGGAAGAACAAGUACCGUUCGAACAGGGCGGUACCUUGACGGUACCUAACCAGAAAGCCACGGCUAACUACGUGCCAGCAGCCGCGGUAAUACGUAGGUGGCAAGCGUUGUCCGGAAUUAUUGGGCGUAAAGCGCGCGCAGGCGGUUUCUUAAGUCUGAUGUGAAAGCCCCCGGCUCAACCGGGGAGGGUCAUUGGAAACUGGGGAACUUGAGUGCAGAAGAGGAGAGUGGAAUUCCACGUGUAGCGGUGAAAUGCGUAGAGAUGUGGAGGAACACCAGUGGCGAAGGCGACUCUCUGGUCUGUAACUGACGCUGAGGCGCGAAAGCGUGGGGAGCGAACAGGAUUAGAUACCCUGGUAGUCCACGCCGUAAACGAUGAGUGCUAAGUGUUAGAGGGUUUCCGCCCUUUAGUGCUGCAGCAAACGCAUUAAGCACUCCGCCUGGGGAGUACGGUCGCAAGACUGAAACUCAAAGGAAUUGACGGGGGCCCGCACAAGCGGUGGAGCAUGUGGUUUAAUUCGAAGCAACGCGAAGAACCUUACCAGGUCUUGACAUCCUCUGACACCCCUAGAGAUAGGGCUUCCCCUUCGGGGGCAGAGUGACAGGUGGUGCAUGGUUGUCGUCAGCUCGUGUCGUGAGAUGUUGGGUUAAGUCCCGCAACGAGCGCAACCCUUGAUCUUAGUUGCCAGCAUUCAGUUGGGCACUCUAAGGUGACUGCCGGUGACAAACCGGAGGAAGGUGGGGAUGACGUCAAAUCAUCAUGCCCCUUAUGACCUGGGCUACACACGUGCUACAAUGGGCAGAACAAAGGGCAGCGAAGCCGCGAGGCUAAGCCAAUCCCACAAAUCUGUUCUCAGUUCG
Molecule: ribosomal RNA, 1169 nt
Filed under: Bacillus sonorensis
Lineage: Bacteria; Bacillati; Bacillota; Bacilli; Caryophanales; Bacillaceae
Description: 16S ribosomal RNA
Rfam family: Bacterial small subunit ribosomal RNA
Source: RNAcentral